GAAUCUACGGGGGGCAGCAGUGAGGAAUAUUGGUCAAUGGUCGGGAGACUGAACCAGCCAAGCCGCGUGAGGGAAGAAGGUACAGAGAAUCGUAAACCUCCUUUGUCAGGGAACAAAGGCGGGGACGUGUCCCCGGAUGAGUGUACCUGAAGCAAAAGCAACGGCUAACUCCGUGCCAGCAGCCGCGGUAAUACGGAGGAUGCGAUCGUUAUCCGGAUUUAUUGGGUUUAGAGGGUACGCAGGCGGUCUG
Molecule: ribosomal RNA, 250 nt
Filed under: uncultured bacterium
Lineage: Bacteria
Description: partial 16S ribosomal RNA
Rfam family: Bacterial small subunit ribosomal RNA
Source: RNAcentral